GUUGGAUACUGAAGGUGGCGCUUGGACACUGUUGCAGGCGCCUGGAUGCGUCGGUGCGCCCGCCUGCCUGACUGCCUGCCCUGCUGUAGAAGGAUACAUUUUAGCAGCUGGUUAAGUUCUUUGUACUGCCUUCACCACUGAUGAUAAAACCAAAUUCGACAGUCUCAACAGUAAAUACUCGACCAACCACUCCAGCAUGCAUUAAACCCCAGAGGGAGACUAUAAACUUUGAGCGUAGCCAACGUGAGCCACGAGGACCGGCGAGGGUACUUUUCUAAAGACGCUGCUGCACAAAGCAACAGGGAUCCACUCUAGCCCAAAGGCGAUGACAUCAUCCUGGAGAAACUGUGGCUUAUGCACUACAACAGAUGUAGAUAACGCUCCAGACACACCUCACUUCCUGAGAGGAGAGUUAUGGCUUCCUGGGAGAGGCACAGCCGUCCCCUGGAGCCCUGAGGAGUUCGACAGCUACCUAUGGAGAGGGCACAUCUCUGACUUGUAGACCUGCUCUGAGGCUUCUCCUCUCACUUUGAGAUCCUCCGUGUACCUGUCAAAGGGUCAAAGGGGUACACUCGCUGCAGACAACAGGGCUGUGUUUGUGUGUCUGGGUGUGUUUGUGUUUGCUUGUGUGUGUAUGUGGAGCCCCCCCCCCUCCUGUGACAGAUGCCAGGCUGUUUAUGUGAGAGGUGUGGGAGUGCUGGGUGGGCAGGUGGGCAAAGACACGCAUGUGUGUUUGUGAGUGCGUGUGCUGAAGGGAAGUGUGUGUUGUUGUUGUGGGUGGGUUUAAGCAGUAGUAUAAUAUGAAAACUCGACUUGUCAGAAUGUGCAGACAUGCGUGUGAAUGCAUUUGCAUACUGCCGGCAUAUGCGUGUGCACAUGUCUCUACCUGUGCACAGAUACACACUCCAUCUAACUGCACAACGAGUCUAAAUGAGAACCUGUUACCAGGCUCCCGUAAACACCCAAAACCCAAAACUGCUGUCACGGAACCAGAUCAUAACAGAUGGGGGGGGGGCUGCUGCUCUGGCAGCCGAGCAAACGAUGAGCUAAUCGUAGCGAAGGAGGUGACCAUAGUUGGUUACAGCUUAUUCAGGAUUAUGACUCAAUCACUGAGGCUUAUGGCACUUAGGUAAUUAUUUAAUCAAAGAGUGGACGUGUCAAUAGAAGUCGACAAGAGAUUAAUUAUAAGUCCGGGAUGGCUUCAACUCAUUGUUUUUACUGGUCGGCUGUCUUGACAGUGGCAGGAGGGAGAGUUGAUGGGCUCGUUGGGAGGGUGAGUGACAGCUCUAGUGGAGCAGGAAUAAUCAGAGUAGUAUAGUUAACACUAACCCCCCCUCUUAGCAUGGAUAGAGAUCAAUACUGUGCUAUCCUUGAUUAAAAUGUUUAAUUAGCUGUAUUAAGGGAGCAAUAUAAAGCUAAGGAGGGGAGAGAAAACAUCCUCUGUGUGUGGAUCAGAGGGUAUAUUAGACAUCGACGGGAGUCACCAGUUAACUGUUACUCUAUAUCUACUGUAGUGCAGCCCACACUUGUGGUUCAGACAGCAGAAAACAGUGUGACGCUAUACAUGCUUCUUUGAAUGUGGGAAAGCGUGUGUGUGCGUGUGUGCUAAGCUCACUGUGACAGCUAUAGGAGAAAAGGCAGGUCUGUGGCAGAAAAAAGGUGUAUGAGUCACUCAGCCUAUCCUUAGUAACCUGCCAUUAUUUAUAGCAGACUGUAGGAGGAUGAAAGGCACUGGAGAAUUCUCUCUUAGUUGUCUGCCAACAGCUUUCGACUAAUAACUGUCAUUCCUAAAUGUACUGGGCUUUCAUGUCGACAGGAGUGACCUGAUGUACAGUAUCUUCACAUCUAAGAGAUUACAGUGAUGAUGUAUGAAAUAGACUGUUCCCAAACUACUACUUAACUUCAGACACAUGACCUGAGGAAAUGGCUAAUUUAAGCAGAAAGUGGUGUCAAAAUGUGUCCUAGAAUUUGUUACUGUUUGAAUUUCUUUGUUGAUAUAUAUAAGUUUAAGUAAUUAAAUGAUGA
Lates calcarifer (barramundi perch) is the source of this 2025-nucleotide long non-coding RNA. RefSeq lists it as uncharacterized. Lineage: Eukaryota; Metazoa; Chordata; Actinopteri; Centropomidae. The transcript has 4 exons. The record is from RefSeq and is a predicted model, not a curated record.